Bos taurus (domestic cattle) is the source of this 1109-nucleotide long non-coding RNA. NCBI's taxonomy places the organism in Eukaryota, Metazoa, Chordata, Mammalia, Artiodactyla, Bovidae. The record is from Ensembl.
GGUAAGAGCACUGCAGUGAGUCAGGAGGGCCCGGUCUGGGCGGCUCUGACUAAGAACACAGUCCCUAACAUCGUGGGGUGUCAAAUCUCCGCAGUCCAAAGGGGCCCUUCCGCCCCCUGGUUUGUGACUGCAAGUUUUGGCCUGAGAAUGAGUGAGUGGGCGGGGGCCACUCAGGUGGCUAUGAAAACUCUCAGUGAGUCUUAGAGGGGCUGGAAUGCAGGCUGGGAACCCGGCUGGGGACAGAGGGUAGCGUGAGGUGUGGCCCAGUGAGCCUACGUCCUCAGUUUCCCCACGAAGGCGGCCUUUUCUGCCACUUAAUAGCACCUUUGCGGUGGAGAUGCAGGCUGCUGGGGUUUGGGGGACCCCUGAGGCGAGCCCCCUUUCCCCCUCCUCCGUUGGGCCACCAAAGUGGUCUCUCUGAUGACUGCCGCCUUCUCUGGUGCCGUGGGUGUGUGUGGCACCUUUUCCAGCACGGUGGCCUGUCAGCGGGGUUCCCCCCACCCACCCCCUUUCCUGGGAAGGGUUUCUUUCCCUUGUGUGGGCGGCAGACGCUGAGCCCAGACACGGACUUCUUCUGGCUCCACAAGCCUCUCCCAGUUGCAGGCUCUGGUUCCUUCAACUUCCAAAGAUAAAUAAAUAGUGAUUGCAAAUGGAGCAAGGGAGAAGGGGACGGCCCCCCUCCCCCCAGCAGGAGCCCUCCUCAGGGCGGGCGCAGGAGCCAGGCCUGCAUUCCUGGGAAGGGUCGUCACAGAGCCACGGCCCACAGGCAGGUCUGCCACCGGCCCUCCUGUUCCCAGGCCGGGGAACUUCUCAGAGAAGAGCAGGGGACGCCUCGGUCCGGGGUCACACAGCCCUCCUGUCAUUUCUUCUUCUUUUUUUUUUUUUUUUUGCUCAGCGGAGACACUCUAAGUCCGGAAAGGAAUUCCACUGCAACAGCCGCUCUCUGAGGCUGAAUCGAGGCCAAAUGACAUUUAAUGAGGCAGUGAUUCCUCACAGGGCCCUGGGGCUCGCACCCUCUAAGCCCUCUCUCAAGAAGCUUUCCUUGGGACUUUCUGGCCUGAUCCCUGGUAGGGGAACUAGAAUCCAACGUGCUUCGGAGCAACUAAAUC